This 663-nucleotide ribosomal RNA is filed under the name uncultured Fusibacter sp. RNAcentral describes it as "bacterial SSU rRNA". It matches the Rfam family "Bacterial small subunit ribosomal RNA", at positions 8 to 668 of the family's 1533-position model. The record is from RNAcentral. Lineage: Bacteria; Bacillati; Bacillota; Clostridia; Eubacteriales; Fusibacteraceae.
AGAGUUUGAUCAUGGCUCAGGAUGAACGCUGGCGGCGUGCCUAACACAUGCAAGUCGAGCGCGGUUAAGUGGAGUGCGAACUUCGGUUCAAGUGAAGCUUAUGAAAGCGGCGGACGGGUGAGUAACGCGUGGGUAACCCGCCCCAUACAAAGGGAUAGCCACUGGAAACGGUGAUUAAUACCUUAUAAGUCGGUAGUCUCGCAUGAGACAGCCGACAAAGAUUUAUCGGUAUGGGAUGGACCCGCGUCUGAUUAGCUAGUUGGUGAGGUAACGGCUCACCAAGGCGACGAUCAGUAGCCGACCUGAGAGGGUGAUCGGCCACACUGGAACUGAGACACGGUCCAGACUCCUACGGGAGGCAGCAGUGGGGAAUAUUGCACAAUGGGCGCAAGCCUGAUGCAGCAACGCCGCGUGAGUGAAGAAGGCCUUCGGGUUGUAAAACUCUGUCCUAUGGGAAGAAAAAAAUGACGGUACCAUAGGAGGAAGCCCCGGCUAACUACGUGCCAGCAGCCGCGGUAAUACGUAGGGGGCAAGCGUUAUCCGGAAUCACUGGGCGUAAAGGGUGCGUGGGUGGCUUAUCAAGCCAGGGGUGAAAGGCAUUGGCUCAACCAAUGUAAGCCUUUGGAACUGAUAGGCUUGAGUGCAGGAGAGGUAAGUGGAAUU